Molecule: ribosomal RNA, 222 nt
Filed under: uncultured bacterium
Lineage: Bacteria
Description: partial 16S ribosomal RNA
Rfam family: Bacterial small subunit ribosomal RNA
Source: RNAcentral
UACGGGGGGAGCAAGCGUUGUUCGGAUUUACUGGGCGUAAAGGGCGCGUAGGCGGUCGUGACAAGUCACUUGUGAAAUCUCCGGGCUUAACUCGGAACGGUCAAGUGAUACUGUCGGACUAGAGUACAGAAGGGGCAACUGGAAUUCCUGGUGUAGCGGUGGAAUGCGCAGAUAUCAGGAGGAACACCGGUGGCGAAGGCGGGCCUCUGGGCAGUGAACUGA